This 253-nucleotide ribosomal RNA is filed under the name uncultured bacterium. Its description in RNAcentral is "partial 16S ribosomal RNA". It matches the Rfam family "Bacterial small subunit ribosomal RNA", at positions 524 to 776 of the family's 1533-position model. The record is from RNAcentral.
UACAGAGGGUGCGAGCGUUAAUCGGAAUUACUGGGCGUAAAGCGCACGUAGGUGGCGACGUAAGUCGGGUGUGAAAGCCCCGGGCUCAACCUGGGAAUUGCAUUCGAGACUGCAUUGCUGGAGUACGGAAGAGGAAGGCGGAAUUCCCGGUGUAGCGAUGAAAUGCGUAGAUAUCGGGAGGAACAUCAGUGGCGAAGGCGGCCUUCUGGUCCAGUACUGACACUCAAGUGCGAAAGCGUGGGGAGCAAACAGG